This 852-nucleotide long non-coding RNA is filed under the name Homo sapiens (human). Its description in RNAcentral is "HSALNT0074533". The record is from RNAcentral. Lineage: Eukaryota; Metazoa; Chordata; Mammalia; Primates; Hominidae.
CCGGCGGGCUAGGCAGUCCUUUCGUUCCGCGAGUCCUAGAUUCGAUCCCUGGCUAUUCUCUCUUCCUCACUUUUCCUAGCUGUUCAAAGUGCGCUACUUCUCAUCUUCUGCCCCCGGGAAAUAAGCAAAACAAAACCCAGGCUGGCUCCGGAGAGUUUGUAGCAAAGUUAGUUGCCGAAUCUCCACUUUGAAGUUGGAGGGUGGGGGUGGCUUGCUUUCUUUGGGGAGGUUCAAAGGACGCCUUGUGCAGCCCGUGGCGCUCCUCUGAUCUUACUGGGAUGCUCUGCUCUUUCGGUCGCGCGGCUGAUUCGCAUUCGACGCUCACUGUGCCCGGGGAGAAAGCGCAUCCAGCCCGCGGGAGAUCUAGCCUCUGUGCGGGCUUCCUCCGCCCACGCUGCCCCGGGCUGCUGCGCCAGAAAGGGCAGUGCCACGGAUCCCCGCGGCUCCCAGGUCCUCACCUCCACCCGCCUUGCCCUCUGGCCCACGGGGCACUGGAGUUGCAAUAUUGAAAAGAAAAAGGGGGAGGAAAAACACAGAAAAACAAAAGACUAAGUGUGAAAAGUCUGACGGCUGGGUUUCGGCGCCGCUCGUCAGUCCACUUCUGCAAACGGGCCCGGCGACCCCCGCCCCACCCCCGCUCCCUCUCUCCCUCUCACUCUCAGCCUUUGACUCUCCUCUCUGGCAUUUUCUUCGCGGCUUCCCAGGCUUCGGUCUUCUAAGUCCUGUCCUCUGGCCAAACUGACCCUCUCCGCGGCUCCUCCGCUCUUUCUCUCCUUUCCUCUCUCCCUCCGGGCCUGACAGUUCAGAUGAAGCUCUCAAAGGGUUGAACUGCGGGCUGGAGAAGGAAAACCC